UUUCCAUCUGUAUUAGACGCAAAUGAGCACACAAAUGGUGUACGUAAACGGGUUUGAGUGAAUGUGGAUGGCGACCAUCUCAACAUCAGUCACGAUCACAGAACACUACAACAAAACACACACAUUCCCCACAUGGCUUUAUUUAUCAAACCCCACAAAAUCAUUACAACGAGCAAAGACACAGUGUUAAAGGACUUAUGGCACAUAGCAAUCACAUCUAAGAAGUCCUGAGUCAAAUCGAUCAAGCAUUCAAGUUUCCCAGAAAGCACACUUACAUCUGCAAGAUAUCUGUUAAAGAUCAUCUGGAAAGCAUCUGCUGUGUACAAACAUCUGAUAGACGUCUUUAAGAUGUCAGUUUUACAUUCAUUCUAAAUCAUAAGCAUCUUCUAAACGUCUAUUUGACAUCUGAUAGGAAACGUCUUAUAGAUGUAUCGCAGAUGAGCAAACGCUCUAAAAAAUACGUCUUGCAGACGUCAAAUAGACGUCUCCGUGAUGUACGUGUGCUAUCAGGGUUGCUUUUUAGAAAAUACAAGAGUAGAAAGAAAAUACUGAAUCCCGGAGACCUGAGACGGUUUCUUUUUUUAGGAUGAUGACAGAUUUCAGCAUGAAUCUUGGUGAGAUGAUAGCAGGAAAAACUCUAGUUCGUGAUGCAUUCUUUCUGGAUGAGCAGGUCGCUAGUAAACACCGGCUUCUUUAUAACUGUGAUAUCAUACAGUGGGGCUUGGAAACGUUACGAAAACUGCAGAAUAUUUUACAAGUGUCUUUCUGGCAGAGAAAUAAUGAUAACGUAUUCUGCAAAGCAUCCACGAGACGAUGAAUGAGACAAGAAUGCCAGGCCUGCGCUUUCAUCGUGGCCUAUAAUUCACUUUGUUAUAUAAGGCGGCUGAUGUGUUUAUCUGCCGAUGUCGUAAAAGUGUUGGGACAACUCUAAAUCCUGUUUCAUGGCCGCAUGCCCGUGUCUCUGAGCUUUAAAUCUUCAUUUUCUCUUCAGCAGGAGAAAUAAACUGACGCAUUACGACAGAGUAACCCUGCCAAACCUAAAACACUUCACGUGAAAAGCGCUAAUCUGAAACGUGAGAUGUUUGUCGAAGCUAAACGUACAGCUAGGCAGAUUAGCAACUUGAGCUAAUUGUCACACGCAGAAAACUAGAGUAGCUUGUUCCCGCCACAAAAUAAAAUAAAAAGAUAACUGCGACUUUUUAAUCUCUCAAUCCGGACUUUCUUCUCUCGCAAUUCUGACGUUUUUCAAUUUUUUACGUAGAUUUUCUCAGUUUUCUUUUAUAAACUCGCAAUUCAAUUUUUUUCUUCCACAAACUAAAAAGUGAAUUCCAAAUUUGUAUCUUGAAUUUGACUUUUUAUUCUCGCAAAUUGCGAGCUAUAUCUCAAAAUUGUUUCUCAGAAUCGCAAGCUCAUAUUUUGCAACGUUCAUAUAUUGAGUUUAUGUCUUGAAUUGUGAGAUAAAUGGUCAUAAUUACCUUUUUUAUCCUCUAGUCCAAUUCACGCACUUUCCAUCCUAAAUUGUUUACAUAAUAAGAAUGAGUGUCCCAAAUCAUCGUACAAUUGAUUCAGCUAAUGUUACCCACAAUUCAGUGCGCUGGAUGAGUUUACGAUUUUCAAGGAAAGUGUGAGGAACUAAGCUGCCACCACAGCAGGCUUUAAAUGUAUGAAGCUAAACGUUAAGUAGCCUAAUAAUGAAUUAUAAGGUAAUAUAGCUUGAUGCUAACACUACGCAAAUGCAACAGGCUAGUGGGGUCAAGGUAGCAUAUGCACCAAUACUGGCGUGCCGUUCAAUUACAUGGGUGUUGGCAAACUUCUGAUUGGACGUCACAGUGAGGAAGGACAUCCAAUCAACACCUGAGGAUUGUGAAAUCACGGCAUGUUUGAAUCGACUAGCAUACUACUCUGUUUCUGCAUUAUGUAAAGAUUGCAUAGUCUGCAAAUGUUCUGGAAUACCUGGAUGACCUGCAAUACUAUAUCCCACAAUGCACUGCGCUCCAACUGACCUUCUAUUUCCUGUAACGGCAACCAAACGAACCAAAUUAUAUCAGCAGUGAUUGUCAACAUCAACCUCUGUUUUUUUAGGUUAUCACAUAAAAAGUCAACAUGCACUACAUACUAAGUAUGCAGAUGACUAGUAUUCCAUUCCAAACUAUUUUCCAGCUUACGGAGAACGUUUCCAGAACAUUCUAUCAAGAUUCUCUCAAAGUUACAAACAAUAUCAAUAUCAAUGUUCUUCCAGUAACAUUAACAGAACGUUCGUUCAAAGUUAUCUGGACUUUAAUGGCGUUCUCAAAACGUUGGCACUUAAACAUUGCUCACGAAAUGUAUUUUCGGAAACAUUUUAAUUGGGCGUUCAUCGAAUGUUUUUUUUUUAAACGUCACAGCUUACUAGUUUCAGAGAACUUUCAAAAAAUUAUUUCCAAAAUGUUCGCGAUGGAACGUUACCUUAAUGUUUUCUCUACGCUUCAAAUAAUCAAGAAAAGAAAAAGAAAAUACAUUUUAAUGUUAGCAAAGCUUUUUAGAACAUAUUUUUUAAUUAUCUGGGAACUCAAGGGCAAACGAACACAAAAACUACUUAAUAAAUCCAU
Sinocyclocheilus grahami is the source of this 2588-nucleotide long non-coding RNA. RefSeq lists it as uncharacterized. The record is from RefSeq and is a predicted model, not a curated record. Lineage: Eukaryota; Metazoa; Chordata; Actinopteri; Cypriniformes; Cyprinidae. The transcript is spliced from 2 exons.